AUGCACGCUGGCGGCGUGCCUCAUCCAUGCAAGUCGAGCGAACGGACGAGAAGCUUGCUUCUCUGAUGUUAGCGGCGGACGGGUGAGUAACACGUGGAUAACCUACCUAUAAGACUGGGAUAACUUCGGGAAACCGUAGCUAAUACCGGAUAAUAUUUUGAACCGCAUGGUUCGAAAGUGAAAGACGGUCUUGCUGUCACUUAUAGAUGGAUCCGCGCUGCAUUAGCUAGUUGGUAAGGUAACGGCUUACCAAGGCAACGAUGCAUAGCCGACCUGAGAGGGUGAUCGGCCACACUGGAACUGAGACACGGUCCAGACUCCUACGGGAGGCAGCAGUAGGGAAUCUUCCGCAAUGGGCGAAAGCCUGACGGAGCAACGCCGCGUGAGUGAUGAAGGUCUUCGGAUCGUAAAACUCUGUUAUUAGGGAAGAACAUAUGUGUAAGUAACUGUGCACAUCUUGACGGUACCUAAUCAGAAAGCCACGGCUAACUACGUG
This 496-nucleotide ribosomal RNA is filed under the name uncultured bacterium. RNAcentral describes it as "partial 16S ribosomal RNA". It matches the Rfam family "Bacterial small subunit ribosomal RNA", at positions 29 to 507 of the family's 1533-position model. The record is from RNAcentral.